Blyttiomyces helicus is the source of this 83-nucleotide non-coding RNA. The record is from the annotation of a GenBank genome assembly. Lineage: Eukaryota; Fungi; Chytridiomycota; Chytridiomycetes.
GCCCGGCUAGCUCAAUCGGUAGAGCGUGAGACUCUUACUCCGGUGACAUCUCAAGGUUGCGGGUUCGACCCCCGCGUUGGGCU